This 467-nucleotide ribosomal RNA is filed under the name uncultured bacterium. RNAcentral's name for it is "partial 16S ribosomal RNA". It matches the Rfam family "Bacterial small subunit ribosomal RNA", at positions 28 to 507 of the family's 1533-position model. The record is from RNAcentral.
GAUGAACGCUGACAGAAUGCUUAACACAUGCAAGUCAACUUGAAUUUGGGUUUUUAACUUAGGUUUGGGUGGCGGACGGGUGAGUAACGCGUAAAGAACUUGCCUCACAGCUAGGGACAACAUUUGGAAACGAAUGCUAAUACCUAAUAUUAUGAUAAUAGGGCAUCCUAUAAUUAUGAAAGCUAUAAGCGCUGUGGGAGAGCUUUGCGUCCCAUUAGCUAGUUGGAGAGGUAACGGCUCACCAAGGCGAUGAUGGGUAGCCGGCCUGAGAGGGUGAUCGGCCACAAGGGGACUGAGACACGGCCCUUACUCCUACGGGAGGCAGCAGUGGGGAAUAUUGGACAAUGGACCGAGAGUCUGAUCCAGCAAUUCUGUGUGCACGAUGAAGUUUUUCGGAAUGUAAAGUGCUUUCAGUUGGGAAGAAACAAAUGACGGUACCAACAGAAGAAGUGACGGCUAAAUACGUG